GGGCAGAUACCGAAGCGGUUAAACGGGGCAGACUGUAAAUCUGCUAGGGAAUCCUUACGGAGGUUCGAAUCCUUCUCUGCCCA
RNAcentral lists this transfer RNA (83 nucleotides) under Ignavibacteriota bacterium. Its description in RNAcentral is "Ignavibacteriae bacterium (activated sludge metagenome) tRNA-Tyr". It matches the Rfam family "tRNA". Rfam says of the family: Transfer RNA (tRNA) molecules are approximately 80 nucleotides in length. Their secondary structure includes four short double-helical elements and three loops (D, anti-codon, and T loops). The record is from RNAcentral. Lineage: Bacteria; Pseudomonadati; Ignavibacteriota. RNAcentral also lists the same sequence under 1 other name.